UACGUAGGUGGCAAGCGUUGUCCGGAUUUAUUGGGUUUAAAGGGUGCGUAGGCGGUCUAUUAAGUCAGUGCUGAAAUAUCCCGGCUUAACCGGGAGGGUGGCAUUGAUACUGAUGGACUUGAGUGGAGUUGAGGUAGGCGGAAUUGACGGUGUAGCGGUGAAAUGCUUAGAUAUCGUCAAGAACACCGAUAGCGAAGGCAGCUUACUAAGCUCUAACUGACACUGAUGCACGAAAGUGUGGGGAUCAAACAGG
RNAcentral lists this ribosomal RNA (253 nucleotides) under uncultured bacterium. Its description in RNAcentral is "partial 16S ribosomal RNA". It matches the Rfam family "Bacterial small subunit ribosomal RNA", at positions 524 to 776 of the family's 1533-position model. The record is from RNAcentral.